UACGUAGGGUGCAAGCGUUAAUCGGAAUUACGGGGCGUAAAGCGUGCGCAGGCGGUUUUGUAAGUCUGAUGUGAAAUCCCCGGGCUCAACCUGGGAAUUGCAUUGGAGACUGCAAGGCUAGAAUCUGGCAGAGGGGGGUAGAAUUCCACGUGUAGCAGUGAAAUGCGUAGAGAUGUGGAGGAACACCGAUGGCGAAGGCAGCCCCCUGGGUCAAGAUUGACGCUCAUGCACGAAAGCGUGGGGAGCAAACAGG
This 253-nucleotide ribosomal RNA is filed under the name uncultured bacterium. Its description in RNAcentral is "partial 16S ribosomal RNA". It matches the Rfam family "Bacterial small subunit ribosomal RNA", at positions 524 to 776 of the family's 1533-position model. The record is from RNAcentral.